RNAcentral lists this ribosomal RNA (468 nucleotides) under uncultured bacterium. Its description in RNAcentral is "partial 16S ribosomal RNA". It matches the Rfam family "Bacterial small subunit ribosomal RNA", at positions 28 to 507 of the family's 1533-position model. The record is from RNAcentral.
GACGAACGCUGGCGGCGUGCUUAACACAUGCAAGUCGAACGGAAAGGCCCUGCUUUUGUGGGGUGCUCGAGUGGCGAACGGGUGAGUAACACGUGAGUAACCUGCCCUUGACUUUGGGAUAACUUCAGGAAACUGGGGCUAAUACCGGAUAGGAGCUCCUGCUGCAUGGUGGGGGUUGGAAAGUUUCGGCGGUUGGGGAUGGACUCGCGGCUUAUCAGCUUGUUGGUGGGGUAGUGGCUUACCAAGGCUUUGACGGGUAGCCGGCCUGAGAGGGUGACCGGCCACAUUGGGACUGAGAUACGGCCCAGACUCCUAUGGGAGGCAGCAGUGGGGAAUAUUGCACAAUGGGCGGAAGCCUGAUGCAGCAACGCCGCGUGCGGGAUGACGGCCUUCGGGUUGUAAACCGCUUUCGCCUGUGACGAAGCGUGAGUGACGGUAAUGGGUAAAGAAGCACCGGCUAACCACGUG